AGCGAACGCUGGCGGCAGGCUUAACACAUGCAAGUCGAGCGGGCACUUUCGGGUGUCAGCGGCGGACGGGUGAGUAACGCGUGGGAACGUGCCCUCUGGUUCGGAAUAACUCAGGGAAACUUGAGCUAAUACCGGAUACGCCCUUUUGGGAAAAGGCUUGCUGCCGGAGGAUCGGCCCGCGUCUGAUUAGCUAGUUGGUGAGGUAACGGCUCACCAAGGCGACGAUCAGUAGCUGGUCUGAGAGGAUGAUCAGCCACACUGGGACUGAGACGCGGCCCAGACUCCUACGGGAGGCAGCAGUGGGGAAUAUUGGACAAUGGGCGCAAGCCUGAUCCAGCCAUGCCGCGUGAGUGAUGAAGGCCUUAGGGUUGUAAAGCUCUUUUAUCCGGGACGAUAAUGACGGUACCGGAGGAAUAAGCCCCGGCUAACUUCGUG
RNAcentral lists this ribosomal RNA (435 nucleotides) under uncultured bacterium. RNAcentral describes it as "partial 16S ribosomal RNA". It matches the Rfam family "Bacterial small subunit ribosomal RNA", at positions 29 to 507 of the family's 1533-position model. The record is from RNAcentral.